AACAACAUAAGGGUAUACCAAACCAUGCUGCUAAGCAAUCGGUAUGGGCCCUGGUUCCAGCAAAGUGAUCCUUGCUAUUUAAUCUAUUCUCUUUUCUAAACCCUACAUUAGUAGUAUUCCAGUCCCAGAUACUUAGUCAGAUCUUCAAAAUCCUUUUUGCAAUUUAGUUCUAGUAGAAUUCAAGGCUAUCACAAGAUCAAGUCUCUUCAAAACAUUUUGC
Molecule: long non-coding RNA, 220 nt
Filed under: Elaeis guineensis (African oil palm)
Lineage: Eukaryota; Viridiplantae; Streptophyta; Magnoliopsida; Arecales; Arecaceae
Description: long non-coding RNA (EGUI_LNC018565)
Source: RNAcentral